GUAGGGGCCAAACGUUUGUCCGGAUUUAUUGGGCGUAAAGGGCUCGUAGGCGGUUCAACAAGUCGAUCGUGAAAACCCGGGGCUCAACCCCGGGACGCCGGUCGAAACUGUUGUGACUAGGGUCCGGUAGAGGUGAGUGGAAUUCUCGGUGUAGCGGUGGAAUGCGCAGAUAUCGAGAGGAACACCAGUUGCGAAGGCGGCUCACUGGGCCGGUACCGACGCUAAGGAGCGAAAGCAUGGGGAGCAAACAGGAUUAGAUACCCUGGUAGUCCAUGCCGUAAACUGUGAACACUAGGUGUGGCGGAUCUAUUGAUGUCUGCCGUACCGUAGCUAACGCGUUAAGUGUUCCGCCUGGGGAGUACGGCCGCAAGGCUA
This 375-nucleotide ribosomal RNA is filed under the name uncultured organism. RNAcentral describes it as "partial 16S ribosomal RNA". It matches the Rfam family "Bacterial small subunit ribosomal RNA", at positions 527 to 896 of the family's 1533-position model. The record is from RNAcentral.